RNAcentral lists this ribosomal RNA (253 nucleotides) under uncultured bacterium. RNAcentral's name for it is "partial 16S ribosomal RNA". It matches the Rfam family "Bacterial small subunit ribosomal RNA", at positions 524 to 776 of the family's 1533-position model. The record is from RNAcentral.
UACGUAGGGUGCGAGCGUUGUCCGGAAUUAUUGGGCGUAAAGGGCGCGUAGGCGGCUUGGCAAGUGGAUGGUGAAAUCCCUCGGCUUAACCGAGGAACUGCCGUCCAAACUGCUUCGCUUGAGACCGGGAGAGGUGAGUGGAAUUCCCAGUGUAGCGGUGAAAUGCGUAGAUAUUGGGAGGAACACCGAUGGCGAAGGCAAUCCCCUGGGCCUGCACUGACGCUCAUGCACGAAAGCGUGGGGAGCGAACAGG